UAACAUGUUGCUCCUCCUUAUAUAGGAACAAUGCAGACAUUAGAUGCAAGGCAUAUAGAAUUAUUCCUAUGUGAAGGCUACCAAAACGGGAGCUGGGAGUAUGAGGUUGUCGGAUCUCAUGAUGUUAAGAAACGAGCAGAUGGGGCUACUGGCUCCAUUUUUAGAUAUGAAAGCUUGAAGUUGAAAUACAACAACGAUCAGUUCGUGCCCGCGACUUUAGAUGGAUACAGGAUUUUAGUUCCAUUUUAAUCUAUAAAUAUGAUAAAGCCAGACUUAUUUGUCUUUCUCUCUCCUCUGGAAUACUUGCUUCUCAUGCAUUUUUCUCUGUGGUUGAUUUCACAUUUAAUACAAUUAUGAAUUUUAAUGCUGAUUGUUUAAUUGAAAAAUUGAUUCCAAAGAUGAGAAUACGUUUCAACCCAAAUUUUUGCAUCGCACAUCAAUUUUUCUCUUCUCUCACUCUUUUUACUUACUAUACUAUCAUCUCCCUCUUCUAAAUCUGUUGUCGGCAGCCUCCCAAUUCCCAAACCCCAAACGCCCACGACCACGCGCGAUCGUCCUCAUUGCCUCUGGUCUUGAUUGUCUCUCCUAUGUCCACCAUAGUCCGUUUCAUUCAUUUCUUUGUUUCCAAAACAAUCUUCAAUUUAAGAUCCAUGUUCUCUUUUUCCGAUUAGGAAAUGUGCAUUAACGAUGAGAUGCAUCGUGCUUCUUCGAAACCCAUUUAAUCAGUAACCCAGGAAUUUCUUUUGAAGCAUAAUGGUGUGGUUUUAUUUACAGACUUACUCUAGAGAUUUGCACAUCAC
Molecule: long non-coding RNA, 800 nt
Organism: Trifolium pratense (red clover)
Lineage: Eukaryota; Viridiplantae; Streptophyta; Magnoliopsida; Fabales; Fabaceae
Exons: 3
Source: RefSeq, a predicted model, not a curated record